UGAGUAACCUGCCCUUAACUCUGGGAUAAGCCUGGGAAACUGGGUCUAAUACCGGAUAUGACUCCUCAACGCAUGGUGGGGGGUGGAAAGCUUUUUUGUGGUUUUGGAUGGACUCGCGGCCUAUCAGCUUGUUGGUGAGGUAAUGGCUCACCAAGGCGACGACGGGUAGCCGGCCUGAGAGGGCGACCGGCCACACUGGAACCGAGACACGGUCCAGACUCCUACGGGAGCAG
This 233-nucleotide ribosomal RNA is filed under the name uncultured bacterium. RNAcentral describes it as "partial 16S ribosomal RNA". It matches the Rfam family "Bacterial small subunit ribosomal RNA", at positions 118 to 347 of the family's 1533-position model. The record is from RNAcentral.